RNAcentral lists this ribosomal RNA (478 nucleotides) under uncultured bacterium. RNAcentral describes it as "partial 16S ribosomal RNA". It matches the Rfam family "Bacterial small subunit ribosomal RNA", at positions 28 to 523 of the family's 1533-position model. The record is from RNAcentral.
GACGAACGCUGGCGGCGUGCUUAACACAUGCAAGUCGAACGGUAAGGCCCUUCGGGGUACACGAGUGGCGAACGGGUGAGUAACACGUGGGUAAUCUGCCCUGCACUUCGGGAUAAGCCUGGGAAACUGGGUCUAAUACCGGAUAGGACCACUGCCUGCAUGGGUGGGGGUGGAAAGCUUUUGCGGUGUGGGAUGGGCCCGCGGCCUAUCAGCUUGUUGGUGGGGUGAUGGCCUACCAAGGCGACGACGGGUAGCCGGCCUGAGAGAGUGACCGGCCAGACUGGGACUGAGAUACGGCCCAGACUCCUACGGGAGGCAGCAGUGGGGAAUAUUGCACAAUGGGCGCAAGCCUGAUGCAGCGACGCCGCGUGAGGGAUGACGGCCUUCGGGUUGUAAACCUCUUUCAGCACCGACGAAGCGCAAGUGACGGUAGGUGCAGAAGAAGGACCGGCCAACUACGUGCCAGCAGCCGCAGUAA